RNAcentral lists this long non-coding RNA (469 nucleotides) under Physcomitrium patens. RNAcentral's name for it is "long non-coding RNA (PPAT_LNC000481)". The record is from RNAcentral. Lineage: Eukaryota; Viridiplantae; Streptophyta; Bryopsida; Funariales; Funariaceae.
AAUUCAAAAAAAAUUUAAAGAAAUUUUAAAUAAACAAUAGGAAUUUUUAAAGAAACAUUAAAAAGAACACAAAUAUCAUUCAAAUACAUCUCAAUUCAAUCUUAAUUUAAUUCUAGUUAAAAUCCUAUUGAACUUCAUUCAAACUUUAAGCCAAACUAAUUGUAUCUUAAAUCCUAAAAAAAUCUUAAACCCUAAAUCAAACCAUAACUAAAUCCUAAACCAAACCCUAACCAAAUCCUAAAUCCUAAAUCAAACCCUAACCAAAUCCUAAACCAAAUCCUAAUCCAAACCUUAAAUCCUAAACCAAACCCUAACCAAACCCUAAAUCAAACUCUAAUCCAAAUCCUAAACCAAAUCCUAAUCCAAAUCCUAAUCCAAAUCCUAAACCCUAAAUCAAACCCUAACCAAAUUCUCAACCCUAAAUCAAACCCUAUCCAAAUCCUAAAUCCUAAAUCAAACCCUAAUUCAA